CAGGUUGCAUGCGGGUACAAUCAAUACGACGCCGUUUUGGAGCCUCUGAAACAGGCCCUAAACGACGUCGUUUUUACGACCUAUAUACACAUAAUUUUGAAACCCUAAAAUCAUUUUUCCUCAGCCCCUCUUCUGGUGCGCCGCAAAUUCUCUCAAAGCCCCCUUCUCUGCCGCUCCGACUCCCACCAGAAAACGGCGAAAAGCGGCCUUCAAUCGCCUCCAAAAAACAGUAAGCCCUCCUAUUUUCCCCUUAUCCCUUUUUGUUAUUCAAAGAAAUCAAAGAAAAACAAGAUAAAAGAAUAAAAACAGUAAAAAGAAGCAAGGAAAAGAAACCCAAAUUCGUCACCUUCAAAGUGUUUUUUCUUUCUCUGGUAUUUCUUUUUCAGUUUUCAGUAAAAAAAAAUUUGCUCACCCCUUUACAAAAUUUUGAAUGGCUUUUUAUAGCCAAAUCCGUUUACAAAUUGCUAUCCUCUCCAUUUUGCUUGCUGUUGUUCGUGAUUUGCAGGUACGCGCGAAGGGCUGAACGUGAGCGACGUGGAUGUUGCCGAACGUGGGGGCAACGUGCGGCGCCCAAACUGCUGUUAGUCACUGCUUAGGGUUAGGCUGGGAUUUUGGCUUUAGACUUAAUUGGGCUGGGUCAAAAAUUGGAUAUUACACUUUUAAUUUUAAAUUAAUUCAAAUAUUUGUUUCCAAAGCAAAAGAAAAAAAAAAUUGCAAUAAUUUUUCCAUCCUCUUAAUCUAGAAAGUAUAGUUAUUGUUGAUUUUUUUUUAUUUCAUAAUAUCUAUAAAUUUAUGGCUUGAAAUGAUUUACUUGAUCAAAAUCAUUUCUUUACUUUGAAUAUUAUUUUGUUGUUUAAACUAUUGAAUUUUUCAUAUGUUUCUAUUUUAAACAUCGAACUAUAAAAAUUUUUAAUUUGAUCAUUAAACUAUUCAAAUUUAAUUUUUAGUGCCACUAAAUUUGAAAAGGAUGGAUGACGUGAUUAGUAUAAAUUACAUGAAUAGUCAUUCAAUUAUGACAGUGUUUCUUGAUCAUCCAACUAUAAAAUUUUUUUUGAUUUAGUCGUUAAAGUUUUCAAAAUUAAAUUUUUUAGUUGCCGUGAUAACGUAAAUUUGAUGUAACCUUUUUUUAUUGACUUAAUAAAAAUGUUUUUUUGUUUAAUAUUUGUACAUUCUAUCAAUUUCGUCCUAAUUCUAAAAAUAAAUAAAUUUGGCCCUAAUCAUUCUUACUAGCAUUUGGUGCUAGUGCUUGUAUAAAUAGUUUUGGCACUGUCAAUGUAAAUUACACAGUUU
This 1290-nucleotide long non-coding RNA is filed under the name Gossypium barbadense (sea-island cotton). Its description in RNAcentral is "long non-coding RNA (GBAR_LNC016852)". Lineage: Eukaryota; Viridiplantae; Streptophyta; Magnoliopsida; Malvales; Malvaceae. The record is from RNAcentral.